This 74-nucleotide transfer RNA is filed under the name Candidatus Latescibacterota bacterium. Its description in RNAcentral is "tRNA-Arg". It matches the Rfam family "tRNA". From Rfam's summary of the family: Transfer RNA (tRNA) molecules are approximately 80 nucleotides in length. Their secondary structure includes four short double-helical elements and three loops (D, anti-codon, and T loops). Lineage: Bacteria; Pseudomonadati; Candidatus Latescibacterota. The record is from RNAcentral.
GCCCCAAUAGCUCAGGUGGAUAGAGCACAGGUUUCCUAAACCUGGUGUCGCAGGUUCGAGUCCUGCUUGGGGCG